UGGGGUGUAGUCUAGUGGUAGGACACAUGACUCUGGAUCAUGGCGCGGGGGUUCGAGUCCUCCCACCCCAGCCA
RNAcentral lists this transfer RNA (74 nucleotides) under Actinomycetota bacterium. Its description in RNAcentral is "Actinobacteria bacterium (hydrocarbon metagenome) tRNA-Gln". It matches the Rfam family "tRNA". Rfam says of the family: Transfer RNA (tRNA) molecules are approximately 80 nucleotides in length. Their secondary structure includes four short double-helical elements and three loops (D, anti-codon, and T loops). Lineage: Bacteria; Bacillati; Actinomycetota. The record is from RNAcentral.